AGGCUGUGAUGCUCUCCUGAGCCC
This 24-nucleotide microRNA is filed under the name Homo sapiens (human). Its description in RNAcentral is "hsa-miR-7974". Lineage: Eukaryota; Metazoa; Chordata; Mammalia; Primates; Hominidae. The record is from miRBase by way of RNAcentral.